This 5084-nucleotide long non-coding RNA is filed under the name Sus scrofa (pig). RNAcentral's name for it is "lncRNA (ENSSSCG00035035246.1)". The record is from RNAcentral. Lineage: Eukaryota; Metazoa; Chordata; Mammalia; Artiodactyla; Suidae.
GGCCAGGGACUGAAUCCACACAGCAGCUGUGGCAAUGCUGGAUCCUUAAUCUGCUGAGCCGCAAGGGAAUUCCUGUGAGUUGGUUUCUUUCUAUGCUGGUCAUAUAAUUGUUUAGAGUUGGUCCACUUCGGUGGGAGCAUAUUGCCAUUUUCCACAAGUGACAUGAGCUCCUGUUUGCUCAAAGAGAAUAACCUUGCUACCUCUACGCACCAGGGGCCAAGGAGAAGCAAAUCUCAGCCAUGACUGGCAGUGAAUUUUCUGCCCCGUCAUCAAAAUAUGGACUAGCAACAGAUUGAACUUGCUUUUAGGGAAAAAAAUCCAUAAUGGGAUAUUUCCUGCACUUAAGCAUUGGAUCUGCAAAUUCAUACACAUUAUACUUCCAUCAUGAUGAGCCAGGUACUUACGAGGCCCAGGAAGAAAAAAAAACUGAGCCUCAGAGAAGUUACGCAACUCAGGAGAGCCAGGUUCCAAAGCCUGUCCUACCUGAGGCCAAGGCUCUACUUCUACAAUAUGACAGUCCCUUGACUAGUACAUGUGGGCCAUGCAUCCUUAAAGUGCUAUCUUUUCCUUUGCUAUUAUAUGUACACCUCUAUUUACUCAGAAGGUGGUAAUGCUAUUGCUGCCAUAUGAGAUUGUUAUACUGAGGAUUAGAUGAGAGCAUGCAUGUAAAAUGUCACAUGGUGCCUGGCACAUCAGAACCGUGCCCACCUCCCAUCUGCUUAUUUAUGGUUUCAUGACAAGCCAGGGGGUGCUGACCUGGAUCCUUCCAUGAGCUUCAGCAUGUCAGAAAUCCCUGAAGUUAAAAGGGUUAAGUUGUGGGGCUGCACAAACAUGCGUGUUUACAGCACGGAGUCGAUUCAAUAUCUGGGGGCAUGGAGACAGGGAAUUGACUGAAAAAAUUAAAAUCCUCCCCCAGGGAAGUGUGUACCCAGAUUUCAUUGAGGGGAAAAGACACCUACCGUACAGGGAACCCCUGACAGUUAAAGAGACAGUCAGAUCACUUUAAAACUCCUAUAACACCAAGAACCAUCUUAACAAGUAACCAUUAGUCAGUUUUGCCAUUUGAAAACCAGACUGAAUCUGUUCAGAUUUAAAGAAAAAAAUCACCUUCAGAACUGCUUCCUCAAAUUUCCUGGAUAUGAUGAUAAGGCUGUUUUAAAAAAAAAAAAAUUGAUUGCCCAUAAGCUUCAUUUUCUCCUUCCUUUUCACAUGGUUAUCCUAUAAAAUUUCAAUUUUGAAAAGGGGAAAAUCUUUUGGGAAAAGCUGCAGAUCAGGUUUGAAAACUCUCCCAUACUUGUUCAAAGUCCUACACAUCCUAAAUAAGAACAAGGGAAGUUAUCGGCAGCUUAGCACAUUGAUUUUUAUUUGGGAGUUGCAAAAUAGCUGUCUAUUUUCUUUUCCUUCCACACUGUGUUUUGAAAGUGUAGAGAUGGCACAGAAAAAAAUCCAGAUUUUUAUCUUCCCUUCAAACACUUGAAUAUCUGUCAACACGCCAAUACUAGGCCCACAUUCUCAAGCAGCAACAAAUGGCAGGAGCUUGGGGCGGCUGCCCUACUGCACUUGCUGUCCAAUAUGCCACAGUCCCCACCCUUCUUUUAUGCUAGCGUAAGCCCACUUUUCUCACUUAUGCCUCCUGCAUUUGAAUUUGUGAUCCCUGAUACAGAUCCUGAGAAGGGUUGUGAGAGCAGCCUUCAAAUGCAGAACUGGGGUUCAUCCACCUACCUAGCAGUGUCUUAUGAACUAAACUGCGGUUUAGGUGGUGCUCUGUGGAGGUCUUUUAGCCUCAUCAGCUCUGAAUCUUGCUAGAAUGACAGCCCAGGAAAUAAGGAGCAGUAUUAUCUGUGCAGCAGUAGCAAGUUAGAUUAGGGAGGUAUUGACAAGUGAAUUGGUUUUUCCUAGAGCCCCACACAUGUUUGCCUGAUACCAAUGUGGAUGAUCAUUAGCUGAAACAUUUCUUCAUUGACAGUUGAAGUUCAGGUUUGAAAACCUGCCCACCCUUGUUCAAAAUUCUAAGCAUCCUAAAUAAGAACAAGGGACAUUAUCAGCAGCCUAGCAUAUUGAUUUUUAUAUGGGAGUUGCAACAUAGUAACUUGAUUUUAGGGGAAAAAAUAGACAUUGAGAGUAGAAGAUAAAUUUGAAAUGAGAUUGUAUAUGCUUCCUUCCACAAAACAGGACUCUGAUAGCACUGAACACUGAAUGAGCAUUUUCUUCCCAAUUUGUUUAUUUACCAAGGACCCUUGAGUAAUAUCUAUUGGAGAGAGAGUUAGAAUAAAAAAGUAAGUAACACAUGGUUUCCUCCCUCAAAGAGCUUUCAUACAGGUGGUGAAACCUGACAUGAAAAUAAGUAAGUGGGGGUUCCCAUUUUGGUGCAGUAGGUUAAAGAUCUGGCAUUGUCUCUACAGUGGUUAGGGUCACUGCUGAAGCAUGGGUUCGAUCCCCUGCCUGGUGUAGUGUGUUAAGGAUCCAGCAUUGCUAUAGCUGUGGUGUAGGUCAUAGCUCCACCUCAGAUUCAGUUCCUGGCCUGGGAACUUCCCUAUGCUGCGAGUGCAGGAAAAAAAAAAAAAGAAAGAAAGAAACGAAAUAACAAAAUAUAAUUUGGGGUAGAUGGACAUAAGAAUGACUCAGAGAAAAGAUAGAUGAGGUAGAGAGAUGGGCUGGAUGCAAAAAGCAGGGGCAAAUGGGGUAAGCCUGUAAGAACACUCCAGAGAAGAAAUGAAGAGAGGUUGAACUAGAUUAGAACAAAGCCUUCAGAAGGAAAGAAAAUCUUAAUACACUUAGUGGAAGGCACUCAGGAGCUCACUGCUUCAAAGCCCAGGACACCCAAGCUCCCACAGGAAAACUCUGGUCAAAUUUCAGUGGAGGGGGUGAAAGUGUGGUUCUUUGGCCCCUGUAGACCUGACAAUCCCCCCAGUUACCAUAUUUGCUCUCCAGUUCACCACAGUCCCCACCAUUCUCUAAUACCAAGUACCAAUCCUCAUCACUCACCAUCCAUAUUUAAAAUAACCAUACUUAUUUGAAACUAUGGUUAUUUUAACAAUUUUUUUUUUAAUAAUGUCUUUUUGGAGUUCCCGUCAUGGCUCAGUGGUUAACAAAUCCAACUAAGGAACCAUGAGGUUGCAGGUUCGAUCCCUGGCCUUGCUCAGUGGGUUAAGGAUCCAGCGCUGCCAUGAACUGUGGUGUAGGUUGCAGAUGCGGCUCGGAUCCUGCAUUGCUGUGGCUGUGGUGUAGGCCGGUGGCUACAGCUCUGAUAUGACCCCUAGCCUGGGAACUUCCAUAUGCCACGGAAACAGCCCUAAAAAAGUCAAAAAGACCAAAAAAAAAAAAAAAAAAAAAAAAAAAGUCAUUUAUCAAGGCCCAGAACAAAUCACUCUAUUUCAUCCUGAAAUGUCAUUCUAUACGAGGCUUCCUGGACAUCCGCAUGCCCGCAUCCCAAAUUUCCACCCUUCUGUGUUCCAAAAGCAAUUGUACUAGGCCUGUUUUCUAGCAUUUACUGUACUGUGUUAUAGCUACUCACUUAAAUCUCUCUCAUAUCAGCCCAUGUUCAAAGUAUCUGGCUUAGGCUUCCCUCUAUACCAGCCCCUCCCCAAAAGAUAUGUCCACCCCGAAACUGUGAAUGGGAUCUUCUUUGGAAAAAGGGUCUUUGAGGAUGUACUUAAGGAUCUUUAGAUAAGAGCAGCCUGCAUUAUUCCAAUGGGCCCUGAAUCCAAUGAUAUGUCCUUCUAAGAUCAAGAAGAAGAGAAGCCCACAGAGGAGAAGGCCAUAUGAAGGUAAAGGCAGGAAAUGAAGGGGCCAACAGCCUGGAGAAAUUCAAAGAAACAAAGAAGGAGGCUCCCCUACAGCCCCUGGAGGGAGUGCAGCUCCAGCAACACCCACAUUUCUGAGCCCUGGACUCCAGAGUUGGUAGAGGACACAUCUUGGCUGUUCUAAAUCACUCAGUGUGUAGUCAUGUGUUAUGGCAGCCCUAGGAAAUUGAUACAAGCUCUAUUAUCAAUGAGUUCCCACUAUGGUGCAGUGGGUUAAGGACCUGGCAUUAUCUUUGCAAAUGUGUGGGUUUGGUCCCCAGACUGGCAGGGUGGGUUAAGGAUCUGGCAUUGGUGUAGCUAUAGCUCAGAUUCAAUCUUUGGCCCAAAAACUUCUGUUAAGCUGCAGGUGUGGCCAAAUAAAUAAAUUAAAUAUUUAAAAUUUUAAAAGUAAAGGUGGUAAAAUUUAAUGUCAUAAUCAGAUAAAUAGCACUUUCUGCAGUAAUUAAAGAACAAAAAAUCCCUACCUUCCUCCAAGGCCUUACAGAGACAUAGAAGUGGAAAAAUGAGCAAAAAUGAAGGGGAAAUUCCCGAACUGACUCCCAGUUCCCACGCAAUGGUUGGUGCCUCAGCAUUGGUGUCUAAGCUGGUAAUGUCUGCCAGUCUUUACUGGGGCCAGGAAAGCCUCUCUCUCUGCCUGCUGAAGCCUAAGAAAAGCUAUGCCUGCAGAAACCACAUGGCAUAUUUUGUAGCAUCUUUUUCCCCCUGGGAAGGACUCUCUCUCCUCUACCCUCACUCUGUUAAAAUGAGUCUGCUAUCGGCCUUAACAUUUGGUGUUCAAACACAUUUUUCAGAAACAUGUCACCCAGGAAAGUAUGUAACUGCUUGCAUAUUGUUAAGUGAAAGGGGGGGGAAAUAAGCUAAAAAUAGUUUAUUCAGUUCAGUACCACUUUAAAAAAAAAGUUUAAAAUAAAGAAUAGUUAGACAGUAGUGAGGGUUGGAAGAUAAAGAAACUGAAGUGGUAACAGUAACUAUUUCUGGGUAGUGAGAUUACUGGUUAUAUAUUUUUUGAACUUUUCUGUUUUUCGUAUUUUUUAACUGACCAUAUUUUCUAUUAGAUAAAAACAAUACUACUUUAAAUAAAAAUAUAAUGAAAACACAAAAUAAAGGAGAGAGCAUCUUGACUAUUCAGAACCUGAUAUGAGCACUGGUCCAAGAGAUUAACAUUUGCAUACAGGUGGCCCAUAUUAUGAAUAAACAUGUAUUAUAAUACAUAAUUUAGCAUCAAGCCCAUGAUGGAAUGGAGAAAGAAUGGUUAGAAGUUCAAGUUGUGGAAUAAAGAAU